GAUGAACGCUAGCUACAGGCUUAACACAUGCAAGUCGAGGGGCAGCACAGUGUAGCAAUACACGGGUGGCGACCGGCGCACGGGUGCGUAACACGUAUCCAAUCUGCCCGUUACUCGGGGAUAGCCUUCUGAAAGGAAGAUUAAUACCCGAUGGCAUGUAUUUCCGGCAUCGGAGAUACAUUAAAGAUUUAUCGGUAACGGAUGAGGAUGCGUACGAUUAGCUAGUUGGCGGGGUAACGGCCCACUAAGGCGACGAUCGUUAGGGGUUCUGAGAGGAAGGUCCCCCACACUGGAACUGAGACACGGUCCAGACUCCUACGGGAGGCAGCAGUGAGGAAUAUUGGUCAAUGGUCGGAAGACUGAACCAGCCAAGUAGCGUGAAGGAUGACUGCCCUACGGGUUGUAAACUUCUUUUGUUUGGGAAUAAAAGACGCUACGUGUAGCGUUCUGCAUGUACCUUACGAAUAAGCAUCGGCUAAUUCCGUG
This 486-nucleotide ribosomal RNA is filed under the name uncultured bacterium. Its description in RNAcentral is "bacterial SSU rRNA". It matches the Rfam family "Bacterial small subunit ribosomal RNA", at positions 28 to 507 of the family's 1533-position model. The record is from RNAcentral.